AAGUCGUAACAAGGUAACCGUAGGUGAACCUGCGGUUGGAUCAUUAACAAAUAAGUAGUGUUUAGAACACUCUGAUUGACUUCGGUCAUUCAUACACCUUGUGCAUUGUUUUGGAAUUUAUUCCAUAUCACUCUAUAUUGUCUGAAUUAAGAAUCUAAAUUAAAAAACAACUUUUAACAACGGAUCUCUUGGCUCUCGCAACGAUGAAGAACGCAGCGAAAUGCGAUACGUAAUGUGAAUUGCAGACCGUGAAUCAUCUAAUCUUUGAACGCAUCUUGCGCUCCCUGGUAUUCCGGAGAGCAUGCCUGUUUGAGAAUCGAUAAACCUUCUUACUCCAUUGGGACUUGUCAAUUUGACUUGGUUCGAUGGCAGUAGAUUUGGGCUUGAAAGCAAUUUCAUACCUAGAAGACAGCGUUGACUAAAGGCCUAAUGCUUUUUAAUAGUCUGUGUUUACUUGGAUUCAUCCAUAAUACAAUUAUUAACUAGCGUAUAUUAGACUCUUGACGGCAACUCACUUAACGAUUUUUGAUCGACCCAACACUUAAACCGUGUUAAUCUUGGUCUCAAAUCAGGCAAGAGUACCCGCUGAACUUAAGCAUAUCAAUAAGCGGAGGAAAAGAAACUAACAAGGAUUCCCUCAGUAAUGGCGAAUGAAGCGGGAAGUGCUCAAAUUUAAAAUCUCGUAGGUUUCCUGCGCGAAUUGUAGUUUAGAGAAAUGUUUUCGGUGGUAACGCGAGCAUAAGUCUCCUGGAACGGAGCAUCGUAGAGGGUGAUAAUCCCGUACUUGGCUCGCUGUUUACUUCCAUGUGAUACAUUUUCCAAGAGUCGGGUUGUUUGGGAAUGCAGCCCAAAAUGGGUGGUAAACACCAUCUAAAGCUAAAUAAUAGCGAGAGACCGAUAGCGAACAAGUACCGUGAGGGAAAGAUGAAAAGAACUUUGAAAAGAGAGUUAAAUAGUACGUGAAAUUGUUAAAAGGGAAACGUUUGAAACCAGUAUUGAGUGCGAGUACCUCGGGUUUAAAUUCGAGCUCUAUUCGUAAUCGAGUCAACAUCAGUUUGAUUUGAAGUAAACACUGCGAGGAAGGUAACCUUCGGGUAUUAUAGCCUCGUAGCAUGCUUUGGGUUGGACUGAGGACUGCAGCGUCAUCUUGGAACUUUGCGUCGCCUUUCGAAGUGGUAUGUUUAGACUACAUGUAGACUAAGUGUAUCAUCAGGAAGCUGUGCGUAAAUGCUUACUCUGACGCUUAAGAUGUUGACGAAAUGGUUUUAAGCGACC
Molecule: ribosomal RNA, 1275 nt
Filed under: uncultured fungus
Lineage: Eukaryota; Fungi
Description: eukaryotic LSU rRNA
Rfam family: Eukaryotic large subunit ribosomal RNA (bases 559-1275)
Source: RNAcentral